Cavia porcellus (domestic guinea pig) is the source of this 2443-nucleotide long non-coding RNA. RefSeq lists it as uncharacterized. The record is from RefSeq and is a predicted model, not a curated record. Lineage: Eukaryota; Metazoa; Chordata; Mammalia; Rodentia; Caviidae. The transcript has 8 exons.
UCACAAAGUAAAAUUAAAUUGCACUGAAGAUCCACUACUCAUAGUUUAUUUGGGGUCUGGAUGAGGACUAGGUAAGAUGCUGUCUUUUGGUAGCUCCUUCAGACAGAAUCUUAAGCGUAUGCGAGUGCAGUGAAGUUCCCUGGCCUCCUUUGUUAAGUCAGAGUGACACAUGGUGACAGAGGCUCCAUCCUGCUAAUACUAUCAACAUUUUGGACUCUGUGUAUACGGGACUCUUGAAUUCACACUAGAAUCACUGGAUUUGUAUUGGGGAUAACCCAUCUGUAGUCAUCAAAACAUCACAGGCUGUGCAAAGCAAUACUAUCAGUGACAUCACUGUGGACAUUCAAGAGGCAGACCCAUCAUUCAUCUGAACUACGUCGUGUGCAGAAUACUAUGAAUACACCACAGUGUGUUGUAGGGGUGCUCCAAAUGAUGUGUGGCAUGGGGCUGACUGUCCUGUGGGCAAUAGUGAUUUCUGAUUUGUUUCAUUCUGACCUUUCCAUAAUACAAUUCCACAAUGUGUUGCCCUAUGUAUAUCUUUUGGUACCACUCAUUUAUAUCACAUCAGGAAUUCUGACCGUGGUGACUGAAAUCAUAGUGAAUUACUACAUGACUGUGGCCUUUGUAUUAGUAAAGUUUGUGAGCUUUCUGGCUGCACUGGUAUUCACAAUAAUUCAUGGCAUAAAUUUAUUUGAAGGUGCCAUGGAGAUUGGUAUAUUCCCUGCAGAUAUCAUAUCAUUCAUCCUCACGAUGUUUGAGCUCAUCUCCCUUCUGCUGUGCUGUUGUUUUCAGUGACUGCACAUAGAUAUGGAUCUUGCCCUGUUUCUUACCAAGAGGAUAUGACUGCCCUAAGUGGUCUUCCCCUCUUUCCCUCCGUGAACCUCAACAAGCUGAAACAGCCACAUCGCACACGGUGUAAUGCAGAAAUUGCUACCAUCACAUUUCUUCUCUCUCAAAACACUCUAAGAAGGCAGUCCCUGUUUAGGACACACAUUGCCUUUCUUAGUAAAUAUUCCACUCCCUCGGAAGCCUCUCACAAGCAGGUCAGUGCCAGCCUGCCUUGCACCAUCUGGAGUAGCAUCAGCUCCUAGGAACGUGUGUACAUCAAAGUUAAUAUUUGCCAUGAAUUUGUACCAUUCUCAUUACCAAUAACAGAUUCCAUGUAAGUAUAAAUAUUAGAUCACAAGUGAAGAUCUGUCAGAACAACAACAAAAGUAAUUUUAAAAAUUCUUUAGGUGACCUCAGAAGUAAGUGGCUCUUUCCAGAAGAAAAGAAACUCCACUACAAUAGAGAUCUAAGAUUCAAGAUUUGUACCACAGAGAUUCACUGACUACCACUGAGUUUGAGAAUGAUAAGUACUAAGAAGAUUCAGUUUAAACAGAAUAGAAAAUUCGGUUCCAUACAAUUCUUGAAACUCAGAAUGAGCCUGUAGUGUGGUCACGGUUCAAGGACAAUAAAUGUGCUAUUGAUGUAAAGGGAAAAAUAAUAGUUUCCCCAAUAUAAUGUAGGUAGUUCUCUCCACGCAGAGGGAAUCAAGCUGAGCAAAGACAGAAAACAAUAAUUUGUUUAAUUAGUCCAUUCAUGUUUUAGAAUUUUACUAUGAUUAUUCCAGGAUGAAUUUUGCAGUUAUGCAUUAUAUAAUAUUAAUGACUCAGAAUUUAGAAGGUUUUCCCAAUAAGAACAUGGUGUUGUAGUGUCUCUAAGACUUUCUUAAUUUCUAAAGUAAAGCAUCUGACAAAAAUAUAUACAUUCUAUAAUUUGGGAACAACAUAAAUAUGCAUCUUGGCUAUUUUUCUUAUUGUUGGGACAAAGUAUGUAAAAACCACAAGUGAAAAGAAGGGAGGUUUAUUUAGUUCACAAUUUGUAGAGGUUUCAGUCCAUACUUACCUGAUUUCCAGGCAGGGAGCCAUGUAAGAGGGGAAUAGCAGAGGAGAAGCAGUCUAUGUCAGGGCAGGCAGGAGACACCAAGCCACAGCAGCAGCAGCAGCUAGACUUCCUCUGUCCCUUUAUAUUCCAUGAAGACUGUAAUCUAUUGACUGCUGCCAUUCACAGCCAGGGUGGGGCUUCCAUUAAUCCAACCAAGAGCUAUAUGAAACCAAUUAGAAAACUAACCAUUCAGCCAAGUAUCACAACCUCAAUCCACAUUCAUCCACCCUAGCUCAGCCAACUCCAAAAAUCUCCUCUUAUUAGCACAUGAGGCUUGUAUGGAGGUAAUAUUUAGAUAUAAGACUUCAAUAGAUAGCAAAGUAAUAAAUUUUCCACAGACAUAGAAUGUUUACAACUCUUUUCCACCUAAUGAUAAACUGGAGAAAACUAAUAUGGAAAUAGCACCUUCUAAGGACAACUAAAAAUAAUUUCUAAGUAUUCAUAGAAAUUUAGAAAAGGAAACCAUUAACAAUUUUGCAAAAGUAAAAACAAAUAUUGAAUUAUAAUAAUAAAUUUA